AUUGUUUCUUGGCCUUUUGGCUAAGAUCAAGUGUGGUACCUGUUCUCAUCAGUUUAAAGGACAGUAUUCCUCAGACUAGAGUUGAGCACAUGCCCUAACAGAACUAAGAUGAUAUAUUACCCACCUCUAUUAUGUGAGAGUUUUAAUUUGUCAGCAUAUAACACAAUAUUUCAACUUAUUGGAUACUUA
Small nuclear RNA from Mastomys coucha (southern multimammate mouse), 189 nucleotides. RefSeq annotates it as U2 spliceosomal RNA. The transcript has a single exon. NCBI's taxonomy places the organism in Eukaryota, Metazoa, Chordata, Mammalia, Rodentia, Muridae. The record is from RefSeq and is a predicted model, not a curated record.